This 1534-nucleotide ribosomal RNA is filed under the name Escherichia coli. Its description in RNAcentral is "bacterial SSU rRNA". It matches the Rfam family "Bacterial small subunit ribosomal RNA". The record is from RNAcentral. Lineage: Bacteria; Pseudomonadati; Pseudomonadota; Gammaproteobacteria; Enterobacterales; Enterobacteriaceae.
UUGAAGAGUUUGAUCAUGGCUCAGAUUGAACGCUGGCGGCAGGCCUAACACAUGCAAGUCGAACGGUAACAGGAAGCAGCUUGCUGCUUCGCUGACGAGUGGCGGACGGGUGAGUAAUGUCUGGGAAACUGCCUGAUGGAGGGGGAUAACUACUGGAAACGGUAGCUAAUACCGCAUAAUGUCGCAAGACCAAAGAGGGGGGACCUUCGGGCCUCUUGCCAUCGGAUGUGCCCAGAUGGGAUUAGCUUGUUGGUGGGGUAACGGCUCACCAAGGCGACGAUCCCUAGCUGGUCUGAGAGGAUGACCAGCCACACUGGAACUGAGACACGGUCCAGACUCCUACGGGAGGCAGCAGUGGGGAAUAUUGCACAAUGGGCGCAAGCCUGAUGCAGCCAUGCCGCGUGUAUGAAGAAGGCCUUCGGGUUGUAAAGUACUUUCAGCGGGGAGGAAGGGAGUAAAGUUAAUACCUUUGCUCAUUGACGUUACCCGCAGAAGAAGCACCGGCUAACUCCGUGCCAGCAGCCGCGGUAAUACGGAGGGUGCAAGCGUUAAUCGGAAUUACUGGGCGUAAAGCGCACGCAGGCGGUUUGUUAAGUCAGAUGUGAAAUCCCCGGGCUCAACCUGGGAACUGCAUCUGAUACUGGCAAGCUUGAGUCUCGUAGAGGGGGGUAGAAUUCCAGGUGUAGCGGUGAAAUGCGUAGAGAUCUGGAGGAAUACCGGUGGCGAAGGCGGCCCCCUGGACGAAGACUGACGCUCAGGUGCGAAAGCGUGGGGAGCAAACAGGAUUAGAUACCCUGGUAGUCCACGCCGUAAACGAUGUCGACUUGGAGGUUGUGCCCUUGAGGCGUGGCUUCCGGAGCUAACGCGUUAAGUCGACCGCCUGGGGAGUACGGCCGCAAGGUUAAAACUCAAAUGAAUUGACGGGGGCCCGCACAAGCGGUGGAGCAUGUGGUUUAAUUCGAUGCAACGCGAAGAACCUUACCUGGUCUUGACAUCCACGGAAGUUUUCAGAGAUGAGAAUGUGCCUUCGGGAACCGUGAGACAGGUGCUGCAUGGCUGUCGUCAGCUCGUGUUGUGAAAUGUUGGGUUAAGUCCCGCAACGAGCGCAACCCUUAUCCUUUGUUGCCAGCGGUCCGGCCGGGAACUCAAAGGAGACUGCCAGUGAUAAACUGGAGGAAGGUGGGGAUGACGUCAAGUCAUCAUGGCCCACGACCGGGCUACACGUGCUACAAUGGCGCAUACAAAGAGAAGCGACCUCGCGAGAGCAAGCGGACCUCAUAAAGUGCGUCGUAGUCCGGAUUGGAGUCUGCAACUCGACUCCAUGAAGUCGGAAUCGCUAGUAAUCGUGGAUCAGAAUGCCACGGUGAAUACGUUCCCGGGCCUUGUACACACCGCCCGUCACACCAUGGGAGUGGGUUGCAAAAGAAGUAGGUAGCUUAACCUUCGGGAGGGCGCUUACCACUUUGUGAUUCAUGACUGGGGUGAAGUCGUAACAAGGUAACCGUAGGGGAACCUGCGGUUGGAUCACCUCCUU